AUUGAACGCUGGCGGCAGGCCUAACACAUGCAAGUCGAGCGGAUGAAGGGAGCGUUUUCUUGUAUUCCGCUGCGGGCGGGCGUGUAAUGCCCAGGAAGCUGCCCGGCAGCUAAGGCUAAGGUCCCUACACGGACCCUAAUACCGCACACGUCCUGAUGUAGAAAGUGGUGGAUCUUCGGAGCUCACGCUGUUAGCUGAGCCUAAGUGGUGUUAGCUAGUUGGUGGGGUAAAGGCCUACCAAGGCGACGAUCCGUAACUGGUCUGAGAGGAUGAUCCGUCACACUGGAACUGAGACACGGUCCAGACUCCUACGGGAGGCAGCAGUGGGGAAUCUUGGGCAAUGGGCGAAAGCCUGAUGCAGCCACGCCGCGUGUGUGAAGAAGGUCUUCGGAUUGUAAAGCUCUGUAAGUGGGGAGGAAGAACAGUGGAUGUAAACCUGCCCGUUUUGACGUUACCUACUGAGAAAGCAACGGCUAACUUCGUG
This 484-nucleotide ribosomal RNA is filed under the name uncultured bacterium. RNAcentral describes it as "partial 16S ribosomal RNA". It matches the Rfam family "Bacterial small subunit ribosomal RNA", at positions 30 to 507 of the family's 1533-position model. The record is from RNAcentral.